RNAcentral lists this ribosomal RNA (253 nucleotides) under uncultured bacterium. RNAcentral's name for it is "partial 16S ribosomal RNA". It matches the Rfam family "Bacterial small subunit ribosomal RNA", at positions 524 to 776 of the family's 1533-position model. The record is from RNAcentral.
UACAGAGGUCUCAAGCGUUGUUCGGAUUCAUUGGGCGUAAAGGGUGCGUAGGUGGCGGGGUAAGUCAGGUGUGAAAUUUCGGAGCUUAACUCCGAAACUGCAUUUGAUACUGCCUUGCUUGAGGACUGGAGAGGAGACUGGAAUUCCUGGUGUAGCGGUGAAAUGCGCAGAUAUCAGGAGGAACACCGGUGGCGAAGGCGGGUCUCUGGGCCGUAACUGACGCUGAGGAGCGAAAGCGUGGGGAGCGAACAGG